Long non-coding RNA from Aedes albopictus (Asian tiger mosquito), 471 nucleotides. RefSeq lists it as uncharacterized. The record is from RefSeq and is a predicted model, not a curated record. The transcript has 2 exons. NCBI's taxonomy places the organism in Eukaryota, Metazoa, Arthropoda, Insecta, Diptera, Culicidae.
GCGAAGCUGGCCCGCAACUCAACUCGUCGAAAACUUAUCGUUUACUGUUUUACAUGCAUGUUCGUUGGUAUUAGUGAAAUCGCGUUUGACAGAUCGUUUUGUUUACAUCCAAUGUCUUCUUGCUUAUGUAGUGCCAGAAAAUCCGUUCGCCGUUCGUCAACGGUUUUUUUGCGAUUCAACGAUGAAAGUGUACUUUACAGUUGAUGGAGGAAUCCAAUGAACGGGUUCUGCUGCUGAAUGUAUUCUAUUGAAACCAAUUUUGUCAGCGAGCAAUGCAGAACCGAUCGUGUCGCCGAUGAAAAAAAAAAUACUGAAGUAAUGUGACAAAGCCGUCUGGUGUACCCAGGAACAGGCUACGGCAGUUCCGAAGGAGAGAAAUCAAAGGUGGACAAGAAGACCAUUGCGAAGGAUCCCAUACCGUGCGCGAGGCAACUUCUCCGAGUCAAGAGAAUGUCCCAUUGGACCGAAUGC